This is a long non-coding RNA of Oncorhynchus keta (chum salmon), 5830 nucleotides long. RefSeq lists it as uncharacterized. The transcript is spliced from 3 exons. The record is from RefSeq and is a predicted model, not a curated record. NCBI's taxonomy places the organism in Eukaryota, Metazoa, Chordata, Actinopteri, Salmoniformes, Salmonidae.
CAUUGUUAUUUAGACUGCUAGUGAGCUCUUGGGAUGACGGAGCGGUUCUCAUGUGAUCAUCUAACAGUCUUUCCCAGAGUUCUCUGCUCUCAUCACAUCCCCACGAAGAGGGGUACCUGAAAUUCUCUGGGCUACUGCCUAGGACUGUUUACAGCAGCUCUGAGGAGGAUAGAUCUAUCUGUGGCCCAGCGCUAACCACUGUCUCUGUGGCCCAGCGCUAACCACUGUCUCUGUGGCCCAGCGCUAACCACUGUCUCUGUGGCCCAGCGCUAACCACUGUCUCUGCGGCCCAGCGCUAACCACUGUCUCUGCGGCCCAGCGCUAACCACUGUCUCUGUGGCCCAGCGCUAACCACUGUCUCUGUGGCCCAGCGCUAACCACUGUCUCUGUGGCCCAGCGCUAACCACUGUCUCUGUGGCCCAGCGCUAACCACUGUCUCUGCGGCCCAGCGCUAACCACUGUCUCUGCGGCCCAGCGCUAACCACUGUCUCUGCGGCCCAGCGCUAACCACUGUCUCUGCGGCCCAGCGCUAACCACUGUCUCUGCGGCCCAGCGCUAACCACUGUCUCUGCGGCCCAGCGCUAACCACUGUCUCUGCGGCCCAGCGCUAACCACGGUGUCUCUGCGGCCCAGCGCUAACCACGGUGUCUCUGCGGCCCAGCGCUAACCACGGUGUCUCUGCGGCCCAGCGCUAACCACGGUGUCUCUGCGGCCCAGCGCUAACCACGGUGUCUCUGCGGCCCAGCGCUAACCACGGUGUCUCUGCGGCCCAGCGCUAACCACGGUGUCUCUGCGGCCCAGCGCUAACCACGGUGUCUCUGCGGCCCCGCGCUAACCACGGUGUCUCUGCGGCCCCGCGCUAACCACGGUGUCUCUGCGGCCCCGCGCUAACCACGGUGUCUCUGCGGCCCCGCGCUAACCACGGUGUCUCUGCGGCCCCGCGCUAACCACGGUGUCUCUGCGGCCCCGCGCUAACCACAACUAUCUGGUUGAUUUUUAAUUGAACAUGGAAUAUAAUAAUAAUAUAAUAUAUGCCAUUUAGCUGACGCUUUUAUCCAAAGCGACUUACAGUCAUGUGUGCAUACAUUCUACGUAUGGGUGGUCCCGGGAAUCGAACCCACUACCCUGGCGUUACAAGCGCCAUGCUCUACCAACUGAGCCACAGAAGGACCACUGGAAGGUGUGGCGUUUCAGUGCGUACGUUUUUUUUUUUUUAUGUUGAUGGCUAGUCAGAAGCAGUGACUGUACGGGAUAAUCAACUCAGGGCUUUAUGGACUUACAUUAUUUUCCAGAGAACGUAUAGAGCCCCGAGUCGAUUAUCCCUUCUAUACCAUGGCUAUAUAGAAAUGUCUUCCAACAUCCACUGAAGUAGCUAGCAAGUUUACUAGAUAGUUACAGUAGUUGCCGUGGUAACCAAACACUCGCUAGUUUAGCUAACCAAACCAUCAGUACAAGCUUGCUAUUACGAAAAUCGAAUUCAACAAUAACAAUACUGUUUUCAAUUAAACUUUUACUUACAAAAGCUAUAUAUAUAUAUUAUUAAUUAUAUUUUAUAUAUAAAAGCUGCUCAAACAAAAUAUGUAAAAGUGAACUAUAGCCAUUGAAUUCCACCAUGCAAAUAUACUGUGCGUUAUAGGGAAAUAAUGCACACUCUAGAAUGCCCUGCAAGCCAAUCAGAAAGGAGUAUUCAACAAUGCCAUGAUAUAAAUUGGUUUAAUUGUUAUAUUGAUUGCUAGUCAGAAGCAAUAACUAUACUGGUUUAAUGCAGAGAAUACAGUUUCUAGCUCGUUAUUGGAUAACAUAGAAAUGGACUUUAAAACUGUCACGAGAAUUCUCAUAAUAAUCAGGUAGACUCGGCUUAUGCAAAAGAUUAGUACAGUUUAUUCAGAGAACGUUCUAAAGUCCAUUAUACAAAGACAUCCAUUUUAUAGCUGCCCACAAACAGUAGGUAUCCUACACACAUACUCCCACACAAACAGUAGGUAUCCUACACACAUACUUCCACACAAACAGUAGGUAUCCUACGCGCACAUACUUCCACACAAACAGUAGGUAUCCUACGCGCACAUACUUCCACACAAACAGUAGGUAUCCUACACGCACAUACUUCCACACAAACAGUAGGUGAGUUUUAUCCUUCUCCGUAGUUCUCACCACUGUGUAUCACUACCCAGCCGACAGUUCCAUUCCCCCGAGAUUAGGGAAACCUUGAGCAGUACUCCCUGUGCUCUCAUAGGUUCCUCAGAGGCCUAGCCAGGUCGGUCCCAACACAGUUUAAUUGUUCUCGUUUUUUUUUUCUUCGGCACACACAUACAAGUUCAAAUCCUAAACUACGCCUUGCUCAGUCUGUUUUUCCACUAAUACAGAUACAUUGUUUAACCUAAUUCUGACUAAAACUACACACAUCAUCAAAUUAUAAUUUCAUGAUUCUAAUCAAUUUCAUACAAUUAUAAGGUUUCAGAGUGGAAUUAUUUAAUCAUUAUCUUUCAACAUUUAAAUUAUUUUAUCAAAAACAUGGGCCAACUCCCAAAGAGGUAAAUAACAGAUGCCCCAAACAUCUUUUUAUUUUUUUAUCUCACAAGGAUGUACCUUUUUAUAAGUUAAGCUACUGUAAACAUCAUGCUUACGAUGCAUGGAGCUAACUGGGGAAUUAACUGCAUGGAACUAACUGGGGAAUUAACUGCAUGGAACUAACUGGGGAAUUAACUGCAUGGAACUAACUGGGGAAUUAACUGCAUGGAACUAACUGGGGAAUUGACUGCAUGGAACUAACUGGGGAAUUGACUGCAUGGAACUAACUGGGGAAUUGACUGCAUGGAACUAACUGGGGAAUUGACUGCAUGGAACUAACUGGGGAAUUGACUGCAUGGAACUAACUGGGGAAUUGACUGCAUGGAACUAACUGGGGAAUUGACUGCAUGGAACUAACUGGGGAAUUAACUGUCUACAAGCAGUAAAAUGUCAUUGAGAAUAUAAUGGGGGAUAGUCUGCUCAGUAUAACUGUCUGUACGUGUUUAGUGUUUUUAAACUACGACUAUCAAAACAUUCAAUGAAAUCCUCAGUUUUGGACGUGAAAAAAGUUUCCACCCUUUUCUGGAGGUGGAUACGACAGGCGAUACGACAGGCGAUACGACAGGCGAUACGACAGGCGAUACGACAGGCGAUACGUCAGGCGAUACGACAGGCGACACGACAGGCGACACGACAGGCGAUACGACAGGCGAUACGACAGGCGAUACGACAGGCGAUACGACAGGCGAUACGACAGGCGAUACGACAGGCGACACAGCCUAAAUCACCUUAUUUCUCAAUCUGUUAAUUGUGUUAUGGAAUAAUCUGUUCAGAUUGCUUCAAAUGUUUGUAUUAGGAUAUUAAAGGGCUGUGCUCUCUUAUAGGGCUAUGAGGAUGUUGUGCUCUAUCUGUUAUAGGGCUACUGGGAUGUUGUGCUCUAUCUGUUAUAGGGCUACUGGGAUGUUGUGCUCUAUCUGUUAUAGGGCUACUGGGAUGUUGUGCUGUAUCUGUUAUAGGGCUACUAGGAUGUUGUGCUGUAUCUAUGAUGUUAUAGGGCUACUAGGAUGUUGUGCUGUAUAUAUGAUGUUAUAGGGCUACUGGGAUGUUGUGCUGUAUCUAUGAUGUUAUAGGGCUACUAGGAUGUUGUGCUGUAUAUAUGAUGUUAUAGGGCUACUGGGAUGUUGUACUGUAUCUAUGAUGUUAUAGGGCUACUGGGAUGUUGUACUGUAUCUAUGAUGUUAUAGGGCUACUGGGAUGUUGUACUGUAUCUGAUGUUAUAGGGCUACUGGGAUGUUGUGCUGUAUCUAUGAUGUUAUAGGGCUACUGGGAUGUUGUGAUGUAUCUAUGAUGUUAUAGGGCUACUGGGAUGUUGUGCUGUAUCUAUGAUGUUAUAGGGCUAUGAGGAUGUUGUGCUGUAUCUGUUAUAGGGCUACUGGGAUGUUGUGCUGUAUCUAUGAUGUUAUAGGGCUAUGAGGAUGUUGUGCUGUAUCUGUUAUAGGGCUACUGGGAUGUUGUGCUGUAUCUAUGAUGUUAUAGGGCUACUGGGAUGUUGUGCUGUAUCUGUUAUAGGGCUACUGGGAUGUUGUGCUGUAUCUGUUAUAGGGCUACUGGGAUGUUGUGCUGUAUCUAUGAUGUUAUAGGGCUACUGGGAUGUUGUGCUGUAUCUGUUAUAGGGCUACUGGGAUGUUGUGCUGUAUCUAUGAUGUUAUAGGGCUACUGGGAUGUUGUGCUCUAUCUGUUAUAGGGCUACUGGGAUGUUGUGCUCUAUCUGUUAUAGGGCUACUGGGAUGUUGUGCUGUAUCUAUGAUGUUAUAGGGCUACUAGGAUGUUGUGCUGUAUCUAUGAUGUUAUAGGGCUACUGGGAUGUUGUGCUGUAUCUAUGAUGUUAUAGGGCUACUGGGAUGUUGUGCUGUAUCUGUUAUAGGGCUACUGGGAUGUUGUGCUCUAUCUGUUAUAGGGCUACUGGGAUGUUGUGCUGUAUCUAUGAUGUUAUAGGGCUACUGGGAUGUUGUGCUGUAUCUAUGAUGUUAUAGGGCUACUAGGAUGUUGUAUCUAUGAUGUUAUAGGGCUACUAGGAUGUUGUGCUGUAUCUAUGAUGUUAUAGGGCUACUGGGAUGUUGUGCUGUAUCUGUUAUAGGGCUACUGGGAUGUUGUGCUGUAUCUAUGAUGUUAUAGGGCUACUAGGAUGUUGUGCUGUAUCUAUGAUGUUAUAGGGCUACUGGGAUGUUGUACUGUAUCUAUGAUGUUAUAGGGCUACUGGGAUGUUGUGCUGUAUCUAUGAUGUUAUAGGGCUACUGGGAUGUUGUACUGUAUCUAUGAUGUUAUAGGGCUACUGGGAUGUUGUACUGUAUCUAUGAUGUUAUAGGGCUACUGGGAUGUUGUGCUGUAUCUAUGAUGUUAUAGGGCUACUGGGAUGUUGUACUGUAUCUAUGAUGUUAUAGGGCUACUGGGAUGUUGUACUGUAUCUAUGAUGUUAUAGGGCUACUGGGAUGUUGUGCUCUAUCUGAUGUUAUAGGGCUACUGGGAUGUUGUGCUCUAUCUAUGAUGUUAUAGGGCUACUGGGAUGUUGUGCUGUAUCUAUGAUGUUAUAGGGCUACUAGGAUGUUGUGCUGUAUCUAUGAUGUUAUAGGGCUACUGGGAUGUUGUGCUGUAUCUAUGAUGUUAUAGGGCUACUAGGGUGUUGUGCUGUAUCUAUGAUGUUAUAGGGCUACUGGGAUGUUGUGCUUUAUCUGUGAUGUUAUAGGGCUACUGGGAUGUUGUGCUGUAUCUGUUAUAGGGCUACUGGGAUGUUGUGCUCUCUGUUAUAGGGCUACUGGGAUGUUGUGCUGUAUCUAUGAUGUUAUAGGGCUACUAGGAUGUUGUGCUGUAUCUAUGAUGUUAUAGGACUACUGGGAUGUUGUGCUUUAUCUGUGAUGUUAUAGGGCUACUGGGAUGUUGUGCUGUAUCUAUGAUGUUAUAGGGCUACUAGGAUGUUGUGCUGUAUCUAUGAUGUUAUAGGGCUACUGGGAUGUUGUGCUGUAUCUAUGAUGUUAUAGGGCUACUGGGAUGUUGUGCUGUAUCUAUGAUGUUAUAGGGCUACUGGGAUGUUGUGCUGUAUCUGUUAUAGGGCUACUGGGAUGUUGUGCUGUAUCUGUUAUAGGGCUACUGGGAUGUUGUGCUGUAUCUAUGAUGUUAUAGGGCUACUGGGAUGUUGUGCUGUAUCUGUUAUAGGGCUACUGGGAUGUUGUGCUGUAUCUAUGAUGUUAUAGGGCUACUGGGAUGUUGUGCUGUAUCUGUUAUAGGGCUACUGGGAUGUUGUGCUGUAUCUUGUGUUUCCUUG